This 118-nucleotide ribosomal RNA is filed under the name Thermoanaerobacter pseudethanolicus ATCC 33223. Lineage: Bacteria; Bacillati; Bacillota; Clostridia; Thermoanaerobacterales; Thermoanaerobacteraceae. The record is from RNAcentral.
UCCGGUGGCGAUAGCGGAGGGGAAACACCCGUUCCCAUUCCGAACACGGUCCACAAGGGCCCCCAGACGGUCGCAAGACCGGCUGGGGUGCUAGUUAAGCCCUCCAGCGCCGAUGGUA